Molecule: ribosomal RNA, 592 nt
Filed under: Streptomyces sp. SS8
Lineage: Bacteria; Bacillati; Actinomycetota; Actinomycetes; Kitasatosporales; Streptomycetaceae
Description: bacterial SSU rRNA
Rfam family: Bacterial small subunit ribosomal RNA
Source: RNAcentral
CAGCAGGGAAGAAGCGAAAGUGACGGUACCUGCAGAAGAAGCGCCGGCUAACUACGUGCCAGCAGCCGCGGUAAUACGUAGGGCGCAAGCGUUGUCCGGAAUUAUUGGGCGUAAAGAGCUCGUAGGCGGCUUGUCACGUCGGGUGUGAAAGCCCGGGGCUUAACCCCGGGUCUGCAUUCGAUACGGGCUAGCUAGAGUGUGGUAGGGGAGAUCGGAAUUCCUGGUGUAGCGGUGAAAUGCGCAGAUAUCAGGAGGAACACCGGUGGCGAAGGCGGAUCUCUGGGCCAUUACUGACGCUGAGGAGCGAAAGCGUGGGGAGCGAACAGGAUUAGAUACCCUGGUAGUCCACGCCGUAAACGGUGGGAACUAGGUGUUGGCGACAUUCCACGUCGUCGGUGCCGCAGCUAACGCAUUAAGUUCCCCGCCUGGGGAGUACGGCCGCAAGGCUAAAACUCAAAGGAAUUGACGGGGGGCCCGCACAAGCAGCGGGAGCAUGUGGCUUAAUUCGACGCAACGCGAAGAACCUUACCAAGGCUUGACAUACACCGGAAAAGCAUUAGAAGAUAGUGCCCCCCCUUGUGGUCGGUGUACA